GUGAUAUAGAAAAUCUCUUUUCUAGUCUCUAUAUACACCCUUUUGUCAACUUAUACCUUUGUUGCUUCCACUGGACAGAUGGAUACGCCCAGUUGCGCGUCCAUCCUCUGGCCUCUUCACGGAGGACGGGGAGUGCUAGUGGAAAGAAUACAAUUAAAACUUUGUCUUAGAAAACUUGUCUGACAAUAUAUUUUUUAAUAAAAUA
Molecule: unclassified non-coding RNA, 205 nt
Filed under: soil metagenome
Description: partial internal transcribed spacer 1
Source: RNAcentral